GACGAACGCUGGCGGCGUGCCUAAUACAUGCAAGUUGAGCGCUGAAGGUUGGUACUUGUACCGACUGGAUGAGCAGCGAACGGGUGAGUAACGCGUGGGGAAUCUGCCUUUGAGCGGGGGACAACAUUUGGAAACGAAUGCUAAUACCGCAUAAAAACUUUAAACACAAGUUUUAAGUUUGAAAGAUGCAAUUGCAUCACUCAAAGAUGAUCCCGCGUUGUAUUAGCUAGUUGGUGAGGUAAAGGCUCACCAAGGCGAUGAUACAUAGCCGACCUGAGAGGGUGAUCGGCCACAUUGGGACUGAGACACGGCCCAAACUCCUACGGGAGGCAGCAGUAGGGAAUCUUCGGCAAUGGACGAAAGUCUGACCGAGCAACGCCGCGUGAGUGAAGAAGGGUCUCGGAUCGUAAAACUCUGUUGGUAGAGAAGAACGUGGGUGAGAGUGGAAAGCUCAUCAAGUGACGGUAACUACCCAGAAAGGGACGGCUAACUACGUG
Molecule: ribosomal RNA, 497 nt
Filed under: uncultured bacterium
Lineage: Bacteria
Description: partial 16S ribosomal RNA
Rfam family: Bacterial small subunit ribosomal RNA
Source: RNAcentral